UUUCCGUAGGUGAACCUGCGGAGGGAUCAUUACAGAGUUAUAGAUCUCGCGUGUAGAUCUCCCACCCGCUGUUAUCGUUACUGCGUUGCUUUGCACGUGCGCCGUGCACGGCUCGGCCGCCGGCCUCGGCUCACGCGAUCGUCGGCGCGGUCCUGACAAACAUGAAAUGUAGUGUCCUCAGAGUUAUAAUUACUAGAUAAAACUUUCAACAACGGAUCUCUUGGCUCUG
Molecule: unclassified non-coding RNA, 229 nt
Filed under: plant metagenome
Description: partial contains small subunit ribosomal RNA, internal transcribed spacer 1, and 5.8S ribosomal RNA
Source: RNAcentral